GCGGGCGUGGCGGAAUUGGUAGACGCACUGGAUUUAGGUUCCAGCGCCGCAAGGCGUGGGGGUUCAAAUCCCUCCGCCCGCA
Molecule: transfer RNA, 82 nt
Filed under: Parvularcula sp.
Lineage: Bacteria; Pseudomonadati; Pseudomonadota; Alphaproteobacteria; Parvularculales; Parvularculaceae
Also listed under: 1 other name
Description: tRNA-Leu
Rfam family: tRNA
About the family: Transfer RNA (tRNA) molecules are approximately 80 nucleotides in length. Their secondary structure includes four short double-helical elements and three loops (D, anti-codon, and T loops).
Source: RNAcentral